Arachis stenosperma is the source of this 890-nucleotide long non-coding RNA. RefSeq lists it as uncharacterized. The record is from RefSeq and is a predicted model, not a curated record. NCBI's taxonomy places the organism in Eukaryota, Viridiplantae, Streptophyta, Magnoliopsida, Fabales, Fabaceae. The transcript is spliced from 7 exons.
UAGAAUCGCGUCGAUUUUGAGCUGCGGUUUGGUUUCAGCUGCGGAACUGUAUUGGAUAGCGGCUGUUCAGUAAAAUCGCUGUAAUUCAAUCGUUUUGGGUAUAUAUAGUGAAGAAUCAGCAAAUUUCCAUCUUUUGUUUCUCGGACGAACACAAAUGGGAGCAGAGGCAAAGGACACACCUCCGCGCAUGAAUCCUUGCCGCCGUGUACCUCUGCUCGUCAGUACCAGUUGCUACGCGCUUCCCCUUGUUGGUGGGUCCAUCGUCAAGCUGCUCCCUGCUUCCUCUGGUCCCGUCCUUAGGUCUGCUCAGGAAAAAUUGUUCCUUCAGAGGUGACAGUGAAGCUUCUGCCAAAAGCACUGACAGUUAACCAAGCAAGAGAGGAUGACAAGAUUGAAACAAUAAAGAAGCGAUUUAAAGUUUUCUUGGAGUCUAGUCCACCUGUGAUUUCUUAUUAUGGUGAGAAAGGAAAAGUUCACAAGCAAGGACUUCUGAUCAGAUUUUUAAGUUAGUCAAGACAAUCUUUGAAGCACAAGAUUAGAUGGGAAUUAGGCUGUUGCUGUUAAUGAUGGUGGCAUGAAGGUAAAGAAGAAAGUGUGAAAUCAAGAGCACUUACAGAGAAACAUGCACGGGACAGCUUUGAAAAUCUUCUAUUCAGUGUGUGUCGGUUCCGAGAGCUUACAGGCACCUAUCCCCUAAAUAUAACUGAUUGUUGACUCAAUAGUAUCGCAUGAAUGAAUUCCGUGGAAGGACAGAGUGAAAAAUAGAAUUCUAGGAUUGAACUUAUUUUGAUUUGAAGCAAACAUUUUUUUUGAAUUUGACUAUGCAAUUCUUAGCAAGAGAUUUGCUAUGUUAAUAUUUUUAUAAAUAUAUUAUUUUAUUUUUCAGUUAA